UUUUUUUUUUUUUUUUUUUUGUACCAGGGAUCCAUCAAACUCAGGUUCUUGCACUUGCGAGGCAGGCGAUGGAACCACUGAGCUAAAUCCACAGCCCCUCACUGGACACUGACUAUUGUUGCGUGGUGACGACCAAAUAGAUGCAGAUCUUCACUGUCUUAUUGUGGAUGGAUCAGUGUCGCCAGCUAAUUCCAGACUCUCAUUCUCAGGCUGUCUGUCCACUUCACGAGGUUUGCAGGAGUUUCUUCAGGUUGGGUCACUUUUGCGUCUGCAUGGGAACACACUGGGGAGGCAAGGGCCCCGGGCAGGGGCUUGGAGGGGCAUCGCAUUCUUCCACCCCUAAAACCUGUUGUGUUCUAAAUGGAGGCUUUAAAAUUUCUAUUUCUUCUUCCUCUCCUCCUCCUCCUUCUCCUCCUUCUCCUUAUAAGAAAACCCCAGGCAUUUGCCAGCUGUUAUUGUCAUGCUCUGAAUUGCCCAAUAUAUGGCCAGGGGAUGUAGCUCAGUAGCAUAGCACUUGCCUGGCAAGUGUGAGGUCCUGAAUUUGAUCCCUGGUGCCAAAACAAACCAACAAAUAAAUAAAUGACUAAUGUACAAGAUAGUAGAUUACAAUUUAGUUUAAUUUGACUUCUUUCAGUACUGGGCAUUGAACUUGGGGCACUUUUCAGUGAGCUACCCCUCCAGCCCUUUCUAUUAUUUUGAAACAGGGUCUUCCUAAGGCUGGGCUUGAAUUUGUGAUCUUCCUGCUUCUGCCUCCCAGAGUGCUGGUAUUACAGGUGUGCACCACACCGGGCUAAUUUUUAAUUGACACUGUAACAUCUCAAUACCUGUAUCCCAUAACUAUCACACCGGAAACUGGGUAUCUGUCACCUCAGACAUUUACCUUUUUUUUGGAUGGGAUUGUUCAGAAUCCUCUGUUUAGUUUUUUUGAAAAAUGCACUCAACUUGCUUCACUGAAGCUGCCCUCGUGUAUAAAGCAUUAGCCAUUAUUCCUCUCCAGAACUUUUCCCACUUGCUUGUUGGCUCUGCAGAGAAGCAAGGCCAGUGUGUGUGAGGGUUUCUGCACCAUGCAAGUCAUUUCUCCGGCUGCCUCACGAUUCCAGAAGGGUCUCGAGCAUCCCACAGACACAGUGCAGAUUCUUUCUUGCACAAUGGCCAAGGCCCCAUCUGCUGCGUCUGCCUCGCUGAAUUCAGAGCUGUCAGAAAACAGAACCCACUGGAAACUGAUCUCGCGGGCCACAGCUUGGGUCUUCUGCCCGGACCACGCCCCUUCCCUGGCCCCGCCUGCACCUCACCGCCUCGGGGCUGCUCGGCUUGUCCCUGGGACCUCAGCCAGUUCUCCGCUGCCGCCUUUCUUGGCUCCCUGCCUUCCUAAUUAUUUAGCACUUCAGUGAGUUUUUCUGUCCACCAGCAGUUUGACGUAGAUGUCUCUGUUCUUGUCCCUUCUGUUUAUGUUUUAUGGUUAGUUCAAUUUUGUGUUCUAAUGUGUUCUAUAUUUAUUUAUAUACUUAUUUGGUAUUUUUGAGACAAGAAGUCGCUUGAGACAGGGUGUUCAGGCUGGACUCGAACUCACUGUGUAGCCUCAAACUCUCAGCCAUCCUCCUGCCUUAGCCUCCUGGGGUCUAGGAUAACAGGUGUGCACUACCAUGCCCUGUGCUAACAUGGCUUUUGUGGGGUGGGUUUUUUGUUUUUGUUUUUAGUACUGGGGAUCGAACUCGGGACUUUGUGCUAGCGAGGCCAGCGAAUGAACCACUGAGCUAAAUCUCCGGCCCUAAUUAAUUUUCUUGUUUUUUUGUUUUUGUUUUUCUUUUAAGACAGGGUCUCACUAUGUAGUUGAGACUGACCUGGAACUCACUAUGUAGCCCAGGCUGGUCUCGAACUCACAGCGAUCCUCCUGCCUCAGCCUCCCGAGUGCUGGGAUUACAGGUGUGGGUCACCACUCCUGGCUUGUGCCUGCU
Fukomys damarensis (Damara mole-rat) is the source of this 1955-nucleotide long non-coding RNA. NCBI's taxonomy places the organism in Eukaryota, Metazoa, Chordata, Mammalia, Rodentia, Bathyergidae. The record is from Ensembl.